UACGUAGGGGGCAAGCGUUGUCCGGAUUUAUUGGGCGUAAAGAGCGUGUAGGCGGCCUUACAGGUCAGCUGUGAAAACUCGAGGCUCAACCUCGAGACGUCGGUUGAAACCGUAUGGCUAGAGUCCGGAAGAGGAGAGUGGAAUUCCCGGUGUAGCGGUGAAAUGCGCAGAUAUCGGGAGGAACACCAAUUGCGAAGGCAGCUCGCUGGGACGUCACUGACGCUGAGGAGCGAAAGCGUGGGUAGCAAACAGG
This 253-nucleotide ribosomal RNA is filed under the name uncultured bacterium. RNAcentral's name for it is "partial 16S ribosomal RNA". It matches the Rfam family "Bacterial small subunit ribosomal RNA", at positions 524 to 776 of the family's 1533-position model. The record is from RNAcentral.